UACAGAGGUGGCAAGCGUUGUUCGGAAUUACUGGGCGUAAAGGGCGCGUAGGCGGGCUGCCAAGUCCGGGGUGAAAUCCUCCGGCUUAACCGGAGAAUGGCCUCGGAUACUGGCGGCCUGGAGGGGGGUAGGGGCGUGCGGAACUGUGGGUGGAGCGGUGAAAUGCGUUGAGAUCCACAGGAACUCCGGUGGCGAAGGCGGCACGCUGGACCCUUUCUGACGCUGAGGCGCGAAAAGCCAGGGGGAGCGAACGGG
This 255-nucleotide ribosomal RNA is filed under the name uncultured bacterium. RNAcentral's name for it is "partial 16S ribosomal RNA". It matches the Rfam family "Bacterial small subunit ribosomal RNA", at positions 524 to 776 of the family's 1533-position model. The record is from RNAcentral.